RNAcentral lists this ribosomal RNA (205 nucleotides) under uncultured bacterium. RNAcentral's name for it is "partial 16S ribosomal RNA". It matches the Rfam family "Bacterial small subunit ribosomal RNA", at positions 1288 to 1500 of the family's 1533-position model. The record is from RNAcentral.
UCAGUUCGGACUGGAGUCUGCAACCCGACUCCACGAAGCUGGAUUCGCUAGUAAUCGCGCAUCAGCCACGGCGCGGUGAAUACGUUCCCGGGCCUUGUACACACCGCCCGUCAAGCCAUGGGAGCCGGGGGUACCUGAAGUGCGUAACCGCGAGGAUCGCCCUAGGGUAAAACUGGUGACUGGGGCUAAGUCGUAACAAGGUAUC